UAAUUUUCUAAAUCUGAAAUUUCAUUCUAGAUAUGUGAGAUUGCUGGUGCAGAUGGACAGCUUUGUAAUAGAGAAGUUGACGGAAAGGCAGCUUGAUACCUUGGUUAAAACCUUUGAAGAUUUCACAAGACUUCAGGAAGCUACAUCCAGAGGCAGACUUUUUGAAGACUGGGCUACAAUUGCAGACCAAACUGUUGUCUAUGCCCAGCAAGAUGGAAAGGUGCAUUAAGAGCUGGGUGACAUGACUUCAGAUGCUGAAGGGGAGAGUGCUUUCAAAGUCCUGCCCAUUCUGGAGGAAGGGUCCACAGAACCACAACCACAUAAUUCUGGAAGCCAUUCAUUGACAUACAACCUGUACGUUUUGUUUUACUUUAUAUAUAUAUAUAUAUAU
Molecule: long non-coding RNA, 391 nt
Organism: Labeo rohita (rohu)
Lineage: Eukaryota; Metazoa; Chordata; Actinopteri; Cypriniformes; Cyprinidae
Exons: 3
Source: RefSeq, a predicted model, not a curated record